GACUGAUAGACUGGUAGUUCAAACAUAUUUAUCACCGUCUAGUCAGACACUACGCAUACACGGACAAAACAAAACAAAACUCCCCUCAGUGGCUCACGCGCUUUCAUAUACACAUACUAUUGAUACGUGGUACUAAUCGCUGUCAAUUUAACAAUAGAACCUGCAUACAGGAAUAUCCAGUGCAAUAAAACUAAAAAAUUAACACAAACGUAAUAGUAGCCGAUACAUUUGGUAUAGGAUUAAUUUAUUAUCCGAGUGUCAUGACAAAUUGUCUAUUUACACCACACACUUAAUAGAUGUAUUUCAACUGUCACGUAUCCCUCGUGUGUGCAUACAUCGUCAGUAUUUGAAAAUUAGAUUAAUAUUUGCAGAUCAUAGAUAGGGCAACACAAAUUAGUCAACAACUCGGGUGUUUGUGGGACUGUCGUUGCGACAGUGACCUACAUGGUGAGACGAAAAACAUGUCACUGCUGUUGGGAUCCAGAUCCGUCGACAUGCAAGACGUUCCAGUGUGAAGAUGGGAAGUGUGUCCCAGCACACUGGCGUUGUACUGGUCUGAUUGGCUGUGCCGACGGCAGCGACGAGCACGACUGUCAUGGCAAGUGGUGGCAAUAAUAUGAGAAGCAUGUUUUAAAUUGAAUGUUCAAAAAAAAAAAUCACCUCAAUAACCGCCAUCUCUAUAGAGAUGUCAUUCUCAUUUUCAUUAUUACAUACUGUGAAAUCACUUUUGUUUUUCGUGAUGAUCUAAUAUUUGUGUUA
Long non-coding RNA from Gigantopelta aegis, 759 nucleotides. RefSeq lists it as uncharacterized. NCBI's taxonomy places the organism in Eukaryota, Metazoa, Mollusca, Gastropoda, Neomphalida, Peltospiridae. The record is from RefSeq and is a predicted model, not a curated record. The transcript has 3 exons.